This is a long non-coding RNA of Oncorhynchus mykiss (rainbow trout), 1653 nucleotides long. NCBI's taxonomy places the organism in Eukaryota, Metazoa, Chordata, Actinopteri, Salmoniformes, Salmonidae. The record is from Ensembl.
AUGUUCCUCAGCUCCACUCUCUGUUCCACCACCAUGUUCCUCAGCUCCUCUCUCAGUUCCACCACCAUGUUCCUCAGCUCCUCUCUCUGUUCCACCACCAUGUUCCUCAGCUCCACUCUGUUCCACCACCAUGUUCCUCAGCUCCUCUCUCAGUUCCACCACCAUGUUCCUCAACUCCACUCUGUUCCACCACCAUGUUCCUCAGCUCCACUCUCUGGUCUACCACCAUGUUCCUCAGCUCCACCACCAUGUUACUCAGCUCCACUCUCUGUUCCACCACCAUGUUCCUCAGCUCCACUCUUUGGUCCACCACCAUGUUCCUCAGCUCCACUCUUUGGUUCACCACCAUGUUCCUCAGCUCCACUCUUUGGUUCACCACCAUGUUCCUCAGCUCCACUCUCUGUUCCACCACCAUGUUCCUCAGCUCCACUCUCUGUUCCACCAUCAUGUUCCUCAGCUCCACCACCAUGUUCCUCAGCUCCACUCUCUGAUCCACCACCAUGUCCCUCAGCUCCACUCUCUGUUUCACCACCAUGUUCCUCAGCUCCACUCUCUGGUUCACCACCAUGUUCCUCAGCUCCACUCUCUGUUCCACCACCAUGUUCCUCAGCUCCACUCUCUGUUCCACCAUCAUGUUCCUCAGCUCCACUCUCUGUUCCACCACCAUGUUCCUCAGCUCCACUCUGUUACACCACCAUGUUCCUCAACUCCACUCUCUGUUCCACCACCAUGUUCCUCUGCUCCACUCUCUGGUCCACCACCAUGUUCCUCUGCUCCACUCUCUGGUCCACCACCAUGUUCCUCAGCUCCACUCUCUGGUUCACCACCAUGUUCCUCAGCUCCACUCUCUGUUCCACCACCAUGUUCCUCAGCUCCACUCUCUGUUCCACCAUCAUGUUCCUCAGCUCCACUCUCUGUUCCACCACCAUGUUCCUCAGCUCCACUCUGUUACACCACCAUGUUCCUCAACUCCACUCUCUGUUCCACCACCAUGUUCCUCUGCUCCACUCUCUGGUCCACCACCAUGUUCCUCUGCUCCACUCUCUGGUCCACCACCAUGUUCCUCUGCUCCACUCUCUGGUCCACCACCAUGUUCCUCUGCUCCACUCUCUGGUCCACCACCAUGUUCCUCUGCUCCACUCUCUGGUCCACCACCAUGUUCCUCUGCUCCACUCUCUGGUCCACCACCAUGUUCCUCUGCUCCACUCUCUGGUCCACCACCAUGUUCCUCUGCUCCACUCUCUGGUCCACCACCAUGUUCCUCUGCUCCACUCUCUGGUCCACCACCAUGUUCCUCUGCUCCACUCUCUGGUCCACCACCAUGUUCCUCUGCUCCACUCUCUGGUCCACCACCAUGUUCCUCUGCUCCACUCUCUGGUCCACCACCAUGUUCCUCAGCUCCACUCUCUGGUCCACCACCAUGUUCCUCAGCUCCACUCAGUUCCACCACCAUGUUCCUCAGCUCCACUCUCUGGUCCACCACCAUGUUCCUCAGCUCCACUCUGUUCCACCACCAUGUUCCUCAGCUCCACUCUCUGUUCCACCACCAUGUUCCUCAGCUCCACUCUCUGUUCCACCACCAUGUUCCUCAGCUACACUCUGUUCCACCACCAUGUCUCUCAGCACCUUCAGUUCAGUGCAAUGUCAGGCUAG